RNAcentral lists this ribosomal RNA (500 nucleotides) under uncultured bacterium. Its description in RNAcentral is "partial 16S ribosomal RNA". It matches the Rfam family "Bacterial small subunit ribosomal RNA", at positions 30 to 523 of the family's 1533-position model. The record is from RNAcentral.
AUUGAACGCUGGCGGAAUGCUUUACACAUGCAAGUCGAACGAUGAACCUUAGCUUGCUAAGGGGAUUAGUGGCGAACGGGUGAGUAAUGUAUCGGAACGUAUCCAAUAAUGGGGGAUAACUAGUCGAAAGAUUAGCUAAUACCGCAUACGUCCUACGGGAGAAAGCUAGGGACCUUCGGGCCUGGCGUUAAUGGAGCGGCCGAUAUCUGAUUAGCUAGUUGGUGGGGUAAAGGCUCACCAAGGCGACGAUCAGUAGCUGGUCUGAGAGGACGACCAGCCACACUGGAACUGAGACACGGUCCAGACUCCUACGGGAGGCAGCAGUGGGGAAUUUUGGACAAUGGGCGAAAGCCUGAUCCAGCCAUUCCGCGUGAAUGAAGAAGGCCUUCGGGUUGUAAAGCUCUUUCGCAAGGGAGGAAAACUUAAGCUCUAACAUAGCUUGAGGUUGACGGUACCUUGAUAAGAAGCACCGGCUAACUACGUGCCAGCCGCCGCGGUAA